AGAGUUUGAUCCUGGCUCAGAGCGAACGCUGGCGGCGUACUUAACACAUGCAAGUCGAACGGGGAGCUUCGGUGUAGCAAUACAUCGGAGCUUCUAGUGGCGAACGGGUGAGUAACACGUGGGCAACCUGUCCUCCAGUCGGGGAUACCCGCUCGAAAGGGCGGCUAAUACCGGAUGUGGUCCCGGGGUCGCGAGAUCUUGGGAGGAAAGGCGGCGAAAGCUGUCGCUGGUGGAGGGGCUCGCGGCCUAUCAGCUAGUUGGUGAGGUAACGGCUCACCAAGGCGAUGACGGGUAGCUGGUCUGAGAGGACGACCAGCCACACGGGGACUGAGACACGGUCCAGACUCCUACGGGAGGCAGCAGUGGGGAAUUUUGCGCAAUGGGGGAAACCCUGACGCAGCAACGCCGCGUGGAGGAUGAAGUCCUUUGGGACGUAAACUCCUUUCGACCGGGACGAUGAUGACGGUACCGGUGGAAGAAGCCCCGGCUAACUUCGUGCC
RNAcentral lists this ribosomal RNA (500 nucleotides) under uncultured bacterium. RNAcentral's name for it is "bacterial SSU rRNA". It matches the Rfam family "Bacterial small subunit ribosomal RNA", at positions 8 to 509 of the family's 1533-position model. The record is from RNAcentral.